GAUUGAACGCUGGCGGCCUGCUUUACACAUGCAAGUCGAACGGCAGCGCGGGCUUCGGCCUGGCGGCGAGUGGCGAACGGGUGAGUAAUACAUCGGAACGUGCCCAGUAGUGGGGGAUAGCUCGGCGAAAGCCGGAUUAAUACCGCAUACGACCUGAGGGUGAAAGCGGGGGAUCUUCGGACCUCGCGCUAUUGGAGCGGCCGAUGGCAGAUUAGCUAGUUGGUGGGGUAAAGGCCUACCAAGGCGACGAUCUGUAGCUGGUCUGAGAGGACGACCAGCCACACUGGGACUGAGACACGGCCCAGACUCCUACGGGAGGCAGCAGUGGGGAAUUUUGGACAAUGGGCGAAAGCCUGAUCCAGCAAUGCCGCGUGUGUGAUGAAGGCCUCCGGGUUGUAAAGCACUUUUGGCGGGAACGAAAAGGACUGUGCCAAUACCACGGUUCGAUGACGGUACCCGCAGAAUAAGCACCGGCUAACUACGUG
RNAcentral lists this ribosomal RNA (485 nucleotides) under uncultured bacterium. RNAcentral's name for it is "partial 16S ribosomal RNA". It matches the Rfam family "Bacterial small subunit ribosomal RNA", at positions 27 to 507 of the family's 1533-position model. The record is from RNAcentral.